AUUGAACACUGGCGGCAGGCUUAACACAUGCAAGUCGAGCGAGUGGCGGACGGGUGAGUAAUGUCUGGGAAACUGCCUGAUGGAGGGGGAUAACUACUGGAAACUGUAGCUAAUACCGCAUACCAUCAGAUGUGCCCAGGUGGGAUUAGCUAGUCGGUGGGGUAAUGGCUUACCCAGGCGACGAUACCUAGCUGGUCUGAGAGGCUGCCCAGCCAAAACGGGACUGAGACACGGUCCAGACUCCUACGGGAGGCAGCAGUGGGGAAUAUUGCGUAAUGGGCGCAACCCUGAUGCAGCCAUGCCGCGUGUGUGAAGAAGGCCUUCGGGUUGUAAAGCACUUUCAGUGAGGAGGCGUUAAUCGCAGAAGAAGCACCGGCUAACUCCGUGCCAGCAGCCGCGGUAAUAC
RNAcentral lists this ribosomal RNA (406 nucleotides) under uncultured bacterium. Its description in RNAcentral is "partial 16S ribosomal RNA". It matches the Rfam family "Bacterial small subunit ribosomal RNA", at positions 30 to 526 of the family's 1533-position model. The record is from RNAcentral.